CAUCUAUUUCCUCCGUCCAACAAAGGAUUUCUCAACUUUGACUAAAUUUGAAUGCAUCUAUACACUAAGUCAUGUCUAGAUACAUCCAAAUUUUGACGAACUUGAGAGAUCUUUUAUUGAACGAAGGGAGUAUAAG
Molecule: non-coding RNA, 136 nt
Organism: Brachypodium distachyon (stiff brome)
Lineage: Eukaryota; Viridiplantae; Streptophyta; Magnoliopsida; Poales; Poaceae
Source: Rfam